This 468-nucleotide ribosomal RNA is filed under the name uncultured bacterium. Its description in RNAcentral is "partial 16S ribosomal RNA". It matches the Rfam family "Bacterial small subunit ribosomal RNA", at positions 28 to 523 of the family's 1533-position model. The record is from RNAcentral.
GACGAACGCUGGCGGCGUGCCUAACGCAUGCAAGUCGAGCGAUUCACUUCGGUGAAGAGCGGCGGACGGGUGAGUAACGCGUGGGUAACCUGCCUCAUACACAUGGAUAACAUACCGAAAGGUAUGCUAAUACAAGAUGAUAUAAGAGAUUCGCAUGGAUUUCUUAUCAAAGCUCCGGCGGUAUGAGAUGGACCCGCGUCUGAUUAGCUAGUUGGUAAGGUAACGGCUUACCAAGGCGACGAUCAGUAGCCGACCUGAGAGGGUGAUCGGCCACAUGGGAACUGAGACACGGUCCAAACUCCCACGGGAGGCAGCAGUGGGGAAUAUUGCACAAUGGGCGAAAGCCUGAUGCAGCAACGCCGCGUGAGCGAUGAAGGCCUUCGGGUCGUAAGGCUCUGUCCUCAAGGAAGAUAAUGACGGUACUUGAGGAGGAAGCCCCGGCUAACUACGUGCCAGCCGCCGCGGUAA